AGUGAACGCUGGCGGCGUGCUUAACACAUGCAAGUCGAACGAGAAACGGAUUUAGCUUUCUAAAUUGCAGUCUAAGUGGCGCACGGGUGAGUAAUGUAUAGGUAAUAUGCCUCUUACUAAGGGAUAACAAUUGGAAACGAUUGCUAAUACCUUAUAUGCCUUUAAUACGAAAGGACGCACGGGAAAGAUUUAUUGGUAAGAGAUUAGCCUGUAUGGUAUCAGCUUGUUGGUGAGGUAAUGGCUAACUAAGGCUAUGGCGCCUAACUGGUUUGAGAGGAUGAUCAGUCACACUGCAACUGAGACACGGACCAGACUCCUACGGGAGGCAGCAGUGGGGAAUAUUGCACAAUGGACGAAAGUCUGAUGCAGCAACGCCGCGUGGAGGAUGACACAUUUCGGUGCGUAAACUCCUUUUAUAUAGGAAGAUAAUGACGGUACUAUAUGAAUGUGCACCGGCUAAUUCCGUGCCAGCCGCCGCCGUAA
Molecule: ribosomal RNA, 483 nt
Filed under: uncultured bacterium
Lineage: Bacteria
Description: partial 16S ribosomal RNA
Rfam family: Bacterial small subunit ribosomal RNA
Source: RNAcentral